UACAGAGGGUGCAAGCGUUGCUCGGAAUCAUUGGGCGUAAAGGGUAGGUAGGUGGUCUCGUUUGUCUGGGGUGAAAGCCCAGGGCUUAACCCUGGAAGUGCCCCAGAAACGGCGAGACUAGAGUCUAGGAGAGGGUCGUGGAAUUCCCGGUGUAGCGGUGAAAUGCGUAGAGAUCGGGAGGAACACCAGAGGCGAAGGCGGCGACCUGGACAAGUACUGACACUCAACUACGAAAGCGUGGGGAGCAAACAGG
RNAcentral lists this ribosomal RNA (253 nucleotides) under uncultured bacterium. RNAcentral describes it as "partial 16S ribosomal RNA". It matches the Rfam family "Bacterial small subunit ribosomal RNA", at positions 524 to 776 of the family's 1533-position model. The record is from RNAcentral.